This 210-nucleotide unclassified non-coding RNA is filed under the name soil metagenome. RNAcentral describes it as "partial contains 5.8S ribosomal RNA, internal transcribed spacer 2, and large subunit ribosomal RNA". The record is from RNAcentral.
AACCUAGCACACCUGCGGUGUGUACCUGCGGAAGGAUCAUUACCGAGUUUACAACUCCCAAACCCCUGUGAACAUACCUAUACGUUGCCUCGGCGGAUCAGCCCGCGCCCCGUAAAAAGGGACGGCCCGCCCGAGGACCCCUAAACUCUGUUUUUAGUGGAACUUCUGAGUAAAACAAACAAAUAAAUCAAAACUUUUAACAAUGGAUCU